This is a long non-coding RNA of Papaver somniferum (opium poppy), 4114 nucleotides long. RefSeq lists it as uncharacterized. Lineage: Eukaryota; Viridiplantae; Streptophyta; Magnoliopsida; Ranunculales; Papaveraceae. The record is from RefSeq and is a predicted model, not a curated record. The transcript is spliced from 2 exons.
GGUAAACGUUCAGAGUUUGGAUGCCUUCUAUUGAAAAGCCAUCCUCCCGGUAUCAACCGACAACCGAUAAAAUUUAGGUCUAUAUAGUUAUCUCGUGAAGGGCGGAAGAGGAAGAACUAAAAUGAAUUGGUAGACGAUGAAGAAACAGUGGACCUGAUCCUCUGUGAUUUUGAACUCGAUGAUAUAUCUUAGAGAAGUCAAUUUUGGUUACAGAAAUACUAUUUGGCAUGGCAAGUUUCAACUUGAAGAGGAAUUGAAUUGUAGGUCAAAUUGAGCUAGGUAUUGGACUCUGGAAAGCAGGUAAUUUAAGGAUGCGAGCAAGAGGUAUUUCUUAUUAACACUGCGAUUUGUUCCAUUAUUAUCCUUGUCUUUUUUCAAAGAAAAUGGAUCAGGUAAUUUUUUUUAGAGAAAAUGAGAUCGUUGUGUUCUUAAUUUGAUUACGAUAGAAGUUUCAUAUUAUAUGAGAUUAUUAGCUUAGGUUUUAAGUUUAGCAGGGCUUUCUCUAUUCCAGUGGUUUCCUAGUUUCAGGGGAUCUUUCCAGUGAUGUUACUUUUAUAUAUAAAGCGUUGGAAGUUGGAGUUGAUUUAAGGAUCACAUCGUAUCACAUAAUAAUAUAUUUCGUUUGAUGGUAGGAUUAGCCUUUAUCCUCUUUGGUUAAAUAUAUUAGUUAUACUACUAACUUUACAAAUUCAUUAAAGAAGGGAAAAACAUAAAACAUUUUGAAAAUCAUAAUAAAGUAAAAUAAAGUGCCUACUUUCCUACGAUAUAUCUCACUAGUUCACUCACUUCUUUUGUCUCUUGUUAUCCUUUCGAGCUUUCUGAAAUCGAUUGCGUGCUUACAUAUCUUGUGAACUUAGAGGUGUAGAGGUGGAGGUGUAAACGGUGUAAGGGAAAAUAUAGGAAUAAGAGAAGGCAUGGCUUUAGUAAAGUUAUUAUUCACUUCAACAUCAGAUGCAUUGUUUUGCUCUCUUGCUUCAAGUACAUUAAUUGCUUCCUCAAUAUCCAGAGUUUACAUCCCAUUCCUAAACUGAAUUUCGUAAUCUCCUGUUUGUCUUGCAAGGAGGCUGAUUUUAGUGAAUGUGUACUAGUUUUACUAGUUUUUCAUCCUCAUCGACAAGCAAUUUGUUUCUUUCUAUCUUACAAAUGUAGCUAUAAGUGCUCAAACACCUUUCCGCACAACAUGUGUUCACACUUUAAGACAACACUUGCAUUACUAACUUAUAAAGUUCUGGUGGUCCUCCAUCGUUUAGACCUCACCAUUGUGUUGCAUCCUUGCUCUAUCUUCUACAGUUUGUGGGCAUGCGGAAACGCUUUUGUUAUUCACAAAAAUGCUGAUUUGGUGUCUUAUAAUCAUAGCUUCAUCCCGUACUGGAAUCAUUUUGUUUAUUGCAGCUAAAUACCCGUCUUGAACCUUUUUGUCAAAAUUCGGCUUCUUCUUACUAACACCACCAAGAGCUGAUUUCAUUAGCCAAGAGUUUGUGUAAAUUUCGUGGCAAAUAUAUCAUAAAUCACAAGAUUGUUUACAAGAGUAUCUUGUAACAGUUUGUCUGCAUUACUCCAAAAUUGUCAUACAUCAUAAUUGCAGUAAUUCCUGCACGGUCUUAUGUAUUGUAGUAAUUCCUGCACGGUCUUCGGUAUUAAUUGUAGUAUUUUCUUGAUCUCUUUCCAUGUAGUCAUUUCUACAUCAUCCUAUAACGGAUCUCAUUCAUUCAUUUCUACAAUCAGAUGAAUGAAAAGAGAUCAAGAAACCCGCAAAUGCAGAAGACCUUUAAAUCACUAGAAAUUUUCAUGAAUGGUAACUUUUUUAGAGUAAUGGAGAGGAAGUGUUGCGAAUAACGAAGCCAAUUUGGAUGCUUAGAUUUUCAUAUUUCAACAAAACUGUUAUUCUAAAAGCAUAUGACAAAUGGAUACGAUGCUAGGCAUGUUAUAAGUUACUCUUGCAGAUGAUUUUGUCAAUUAUGAUAUAGUUCACGAGAUUGUGGUCCAGCAAUGAAGCAAAAUGAAUAUCUCGUUGCAUUGUUCGGCUUAUAUACUUUCCCUUAAGUAUCAUACAAACUCUUGGAUGGUGAAACCAGCUCCAGAUGGUGUUAGUAAGAAGAUGCCAAAUUUUUGGUAAAAAGGUUUAAAAUGGGUAUUUAGAUGUAAUGGACAGUAUUUUCCAGUGCAGGACGAAGCUGCGAUUAUAAAAUACCAAAUCAGUGAUUUUAUAAGUAACAAAGUGUUUUCACACGCCGACAAGCUGUAAAAGAUAGAGCAAAGAUGAGCACAACAUAAUGGUAGGGCUUAUACGGUGUAAGAGCACCAAAACUUUAUUAUUUAGCCGUGGGAGUGUUGUCUCAAAGUGUGAAUACAUCUUGUGCGGAGAGGUGUUGGAGCAAUUAUAGGUACAUUCAUAGUAUAAAGAGUAACAAAUGGGCGUUGAUAGGGCUGAAAAAUUAGUGUAUGCUCAUCAUAAUCAACUUCUCCUUGUUAGGCUAAGAGGAGAUUACGGAACCCAGUACAGAAAUUAGAAUUUAAACUCUCAAGUAGACACAUUAAAGAAGCUAUUGAAGUAAUCAAAGCAACAUUGUGAAACUAUAUAUAUGACGUUGAAGCAAAUUAAUUUACUAAAGCCAUACCUCCUCCUCCAUCCUCCCCUGCACCUAUACCUCCACCCCAAGUUUACGAACAUGAUACAAAAGCACAAUGUCGGUUUCAGAAUGCUCGAAACAAAAAUAAGAGACAAAAGAAGUGGAUGAAUGAGAUAAAUUACUGCACUAAAUUUUCUAAGAGCAUCUCCAACAGUGGGUGUUAAAAAUCCUACGUGGAAUUUUUAUUUAGAUCCUUAUUUAUGGGGUUAUAUGUAUGUGGCAAAAAUUGUGAUGCUUUGCUUAUGAACUAUCUCCAAUGGUGGGGGUCAUAUUUCUAAGAUUUGUUAUUUUGGAUAAUGAUAAAAUUGAUUCCCUUUUUCCUAUUGGUUUAGAAAAUUUUAUUUAAAGAUAAAUAUUUUAUUAAAAAGAUGACAUGGUGGUCAUUUCCAAUGUCUAUAUAAGACUUUCUCUAAGACCUUCAUAUUUAUUUUGACACCCUUCCUAAUUAAUAGGACCUACUGUUUGAGAUGCAUUUUAUGUAAAUGAGGGUCUAAAAUCCAAUGUGUCUUAAGAAAAUAAAUUUUUCACCCUCGAUUGGAGAUGCUCUAGGUAUCUAACGUUUUUCUCGUAUUUUUUCUUGAUUAAUUUUGGAAAAUUAUUAAUAUAACUAAUAUAUGCUAUAAAUUUAAUUUACGUUCUCGAUACGUCCCUCGAAUUUGAGUGUUACGACAUUUUACAGUUCUCGAUUUCGUUCCUAACCCCUCUCAUGGUUACUAAGGUUAUAUGUUUUUGUCUUCUUUCUUGAUUAUGCAUUUGGAAAAUUAAUAGAAUAAUUAUUAUAUCUAUAACAUCUAAUUUUCGCUUCCAACACGCCCAAAUUUGACUCUUCAGAAGUUUUAUGAUUCUUGAUUGUGUUCCCGGCCUGCUCCUGCUACUGGUAACUAAGCUCUAGCCUUAAGUGAGACAUUUGAGAAUUGCUCAACCAGGAUCAAGUACUCUGGUACAUGUUUCUGUCACCAAAGCCAAAUAGGUGAACUCUUGAAAUUGCUGCGUAGAGCAUAUGUACUCUGAUAUGGCCUUUGUCGCAGAGUGAGAUCUCCAUGCUUCCAGAUCAUCAAACUGCAACCAUCCCAGAAAAGCUUUGCAACAGAGAGAGAGAGUACUAAACGAUUCCACAAGAAGGAAAUCAGAUACCCGUUGGUGUUCCAGACUGUGAGGCCACCAAGCAUGAAGCUGAGUACCACAUACAAGCCAGACAGAUCUAACCUGUUUAAGUAAGUCUUUGCUGUUUAGAUGUUUGUCUGGGAAUUCCUGGGAACUUGCUAACAUUUAUAGUUCGUGGUACAUAUAUAUAUAUAUAUAUAUAUUUUUUAAAAUCAGAAUCGUAGUAGAAUCUUGCUUCUUUCUAAUUGUACCUCUUCUUAUUAGUUUCUUGGCAGUUUUGGUGUGAGACUGAGAAGUGGGAGUUCAGAUGAUUUUUACUGCAUGCUAGUGUGUUACAUUUUAAAUUUCUAAGAAUUUUGAGCUUUCUUUUGUUGGUAGUU